This 1693-nucleotide ribosomal RNA is filed under the name Clostridium thermosuccinogenes. Its description in RNAcentral is "bacterial LSU rRNA". It matches the Rfam family "Bacterial large subunit ribosomal RNA", at positions 1227 to 2925 of the family's 2925-position model. The record is from RNAcentral. Lineage: Bacteria; Bacillati; Bacillota; Clostridia; Eubacteriales; Clostridiaceae.
GGUAGGGGAGCUUACUGUCGUAGGCCGAAGCACGAUCGUGAGGACGUGUGGACGAAACAGUAGUGAGAAUGCCGGAAUAAGUAGCGAGAGUAAAGUGAGAAUCUUUACCGUCGAAAACCUAAGGUUUCCUGGGGAAGGCUCGUCCGCCCAGGGUAAGUCGGGACCUAAGCCGAGGCCGAAAGGCGUAGGCGAUGGACAACAGGUUGAAAUUCCUGUACUACCGUCUCUUGUUUGAGAGAGGUGGGGACGCAGGAGGAUAGGCUAAGCGAGUAACUGGAAAAGCUCGUCCAAGGGAGGUAGAUAGUCCGGUAGGCAAAUCCGCCGGACGUUUCGAAGGCCUGAUGGGGAGGGAAAAUAGAGUACCGAAGUAGCCGAUUCCACACUGACGAGAAAAGCCACUAUCGAGAGAGAAGGUACCCGUACCGCAAACCGACACAGGUAGGUGAGGAGAGAAUCCUAAGACGAGCGGGAGAAGCGUUGUUAAGGAACUCGGCAAAUUGACCCCGUAAGUUCGCGAGAAGGGGUGCCUGUAGGAAUACAGGCCGCAGUGAAAAGGCCCAAGCAACUGUUUAUCAAAAACACAGGUCUCUGCUAAAUCGAAAGAUGACGUAUAGGGGCUGACGCCUGCCCGGUGCUGGAAGGUUACGGGGAAUGCUUAGCGCAAGCGAAGGCAUGAACUUAAGCCCCAGUAAACGGCGGCCGUAACUAUAACGGUCCUAAGGUAGCGAAAUUCCUUGUCAGGUAAGUUCUGACCCGCACGAAUGGCGUAAUGAUUUGGGCACUGUCUCGACAACGCACCCGGUGAAAUUGUAGUACUUGUGAAGAUGCAAGUUACCCGCGACUAGACGGAAAGACCCCAUGGAGCUUUACUGUAGCCUGAUACUGGGUUUCGGUAUUCUUUGUAUAGGAUAGGUGGGAGGCAGAGAAGUAGCGGCGCCAGCCGCUAUGGAGCCGACGUUGGAAUACCACUCUAAGAGUACUGGAACUCUAACCAGAGUCCAUAAGCUGGACUUGGGACACUGUCAGGUGGGCAGUUUGACUGGGGCGGUCGCCUCCCAAAAGGUAACGGAGGCGUCCAAAGGUUACCUCAGCGCGGUUGGAAACCGCGCAACGAGUGCAAAGGCAUAAGGUAGCCUGACUGUGAGAGAGACACCUCGAGCAGGUACGAAAGUAGGGCUUAGUGAUCCGGUGGUAUGAAAGUGGAAUUGCCAUCGCUCAACGGAUAAAAGCUACCCUGGGGAUAACAGGCUUAUCUCCCCCAAGAGUCCACAUCGACGGGGAGGUUUGGCACCUCGAUGUCGGCUCAUCGCAUCCUGGAGCUGUAGCAGGUUCCAAGGGUUUGGCUGUUCGCCAAUUAAAGCGGUACGCGAGCUGGGUUCAGAACGUCGUGAGACAGUUCGGUCCCUAUCUGUCGCGGGCGCAGGAUAUUUGAGGGGAUCUGUCCUUAGUACGAGAGGACCGGGAUGGACGAACCUCUGGUGCACCAGUUGCAUUGCCAAGUGCAGAGCUGGGUAGCCAAGUUCGGCAGGGAUAAACGCUGAAGGCAUCUAAGCGUGAAACCCACCCCAAGAUGAGAUAUCCCAUUCGAAAGAAGUAAGACCCCAUGAAGACUACAUGGUAGAUAGGCCGGAUGUGGAAGUGCAGUAAUGUACGAAGCUGACCGGUACUAAUAGGUCGAGGGCUUGACCAAGAA